This 251-nucleotide ribosomal RNA is filed under the name uncultured prokaryote. RNAcentral's name for it is "partial 16S rRNA". It matches the Rfam family "Bacterial small subunit ribosomal RNA", at positions 525 to 775 of the family's 1533-position model. The record is from RNAcentral.
ACGGAGGGUGCAAGCGUUGUCCGGAAUCAUUGGGCGUAAAGAGUUCGUAGGUGGUAUGUUAAGUCUGGUGUUAAAGCCCGAAGCUCAACUUCGGUUCGGCACUGGAUACUGGCAAACUUGAAUGUGGUAGAGGUAAAGGGAAUUCCUGGUGUAGCGGUGAAAUGCGUAGAUAUCAGGAGGAACACCGGUGGCGAAGGCGGUUUACUGGAACAUUACUGACGCUGAGGUACGAAAGCCGGGGUAGCAAAUGG